This 598-nucleotide ribosomal RNA is filed under the name Colletotrichum siamense. RNAcentral's name for it is "eukaryotic LSU rRNA". The stretch from base 231 to 384 matches the Rfam family "5.8S ribosomal RNA". The record is from RNAcentral. Lineage: Eukaryota; Fungi; Ascomycota; Sordariomycetes; Glomerellales; Glomerellaceae.
UAGAGGAAGUAAAAGUCGUAACAAGGUCUCCGUUGGUGAACCAGCGGAGGGAUCAUUACUGAGUUUACGCUCUACAACCCUUUGUGAACAUACCUAUAACUGUUGCUUCGGCGGGUAGGGUCUCCGCGACCCUCCCGGCCUCCCGCCUCCGGGCGGGUCGGCGCCCGCCGGAGGAUAACCAAACUCUGAUUUAACGACGUUUCUUCUGAGUGGUACAAGCAAAUAAUCAAAACUUUUAACAACGGAUCUCUUGGUUCUGGCAUCGAUGAAGAACGCAGCGAAAUGCGAUAAGUAAUGUGAAUUGCAGAAUUCAGUGAAUCAUCGAAUCUUUGAACGCACAUUGCGCCCGCCAGCAUUCUGGCGGGCAUGCCUGUUCGAGCGUCAUUUCAACCCUCAAGCUCUGCUUGGUGUUGGGGCCCUACAGCUGAUGUAGGCCCUCAAAGGUAGUGGCGGACCCUCUCGGAGCCUCCUUUGCGUAGUAACUUUACGUCUCGCACUGGGAUCCGGAGGGACUCUUGCCGUAAAACCCCCAAUUUUCCAAAGGUUGACCUCGGAUCAGGUAGGAAUACCCGCUGAACUUAAGCAUAUCAAUAAGCGG